UCCUUCGGCGGAGCAAAGUAGAGAUCCUUUGCCAGGAUUAGGAUACUCGCCGUCUCCCAAGGAAUCGGAGGUGUGGACGCGAAAGGACCAGCCUCCCCUUGUCAGAAAUCCAUCGAGUUCCUCCUCGCAUAAGGACGACGGCAUCGAUCGAGUCCUUGCGGAGCCUACGCGGGAGAAGCCGAAUUUGUGUGAAGGAACCUGCAGCAAGGCUAUGCAAUGAAGUUUAUUUGAAUGCAGUCUCAUCAGAGCCCCAAUGAUCUCAUUAGCAGGACAACUUUACAUGCGCUUACAAUGUACGAGACAAGAAAAAGCAGAUGAAUGAGCCGAAAAGAAUUGAAGUAUCCAGAUUCAAGACGAAAACUGUAAUCCAUCAAGCAUCUUCCUGUAUAAAAAAUGAUUGAUUUUGAUUAGUUCUUAGCACAAUACAUAAGCUCCAAGAACCGUUAAUGGGACAU
Orussus abietinus is the source of this 455-nucleotide long non-coding RNA. RefSeq lists it as uncharacterized. NCBI's taxonomy places the organism in Eukaryota, Metazoa, Arthropoda, Insecta, Hymenoptera, Orussidae. The transcript is spliced from 3 exons. The record is from RefSeq and is a predicted model, not a curated record.